ACGCAUUCUCAAACCCUCCUGGUACUGUUGCUGUUAUAACUUCCAGGAUAAGGAUGGAUGCAAGAGAAAAAUGUAGAGUUAUCCAAAAUGCAGAACGUUCUCUCGUACUUCUGCAUUAUUUCACCUCUUCAAUAAAAAACU
Molecule: small nucleolar RNA, 141 nt
Organism: Podarcis muralis (Common wall lizard)
Lineage: Eukaryota; Metazoa; Chordata; Lepidosauria; Squamata; Lacertidae
Product: small nucleolar RNA SNORA14
Source: Ensembl